This 355-nucleotide long non-coding RNA is filed under the name Gossypium barbadense (sea-island cotton). RNAcentral's name for it is "long non-coding RNA (GBAR_LNC011839)". The record is from RNAcentral. Lineage: Eukaryota; Viridiplantae; Streptophyta; Magnoliopsida; Malvales; Malvaceae.
CCCCAAAGCCAGUAGUCGAAGCCUUCGCCAUCACAGCAACAUGUGCUUGACGUUAAAAAUAUCGACACCAAACUAUCCUUUUCUUUACUUCAUUCAUGUAGAGAUAUCAAGUCGAUUUCAUAUGGGUGUGAUCACUUCUUUAUUCCCCUUUAUUUACCCUGUGGUAGGGAAAUUGUAUUUGAAUAAGAGGACUAGUGUUUAGUCUUUAAGGCUCUCUAAUUAGUAAAACAAAAUCUGUUCCAGCUAUAAAAGGAAGGUGUAGCAGAAGGAGGAGAAGAAACAAAGAACACCAACCUGGCUGUUUUAUUUUAUACCUUAAUGAUUUGCUUUAUUAUUCUUGUUUGUAUACUAUCCC